GCGGGCGUAGCUCAGCGGUAGAGUAGGAGCCUUCCAAGCUCUUGGUCGUGAGUUCGAAUCUCAUCGCCCGCU
RNAcentral lists this transfer RNA (72 nucleotides) under marine sediment metagenome. Its description in RNAcentral is "tRNA-Gly". It matches the Rfam family "tRNA". Rfam says of the family: Transfer RNA (tRNA) molecules are approximately 80 nucleotides in length. The record is from RNAcentral.